This 464-nucleotide ribosomal RNA is filed under the name uncultured bacterium. RNAcentral describes it as "partial 16S ribosomal RNA". It matches the Rfam family "Bacterial small subunit ribosomal RNA", at positions 28 to 507 of the family's 1533-position model. The record is from RNAcentral.
GACGAACGCUGGCGGCGUGCUUAACACAUGCAAGUCGAACGGUAAGGCCCUUUCGGGGGUACACGAGUGGCGAACGGGUGCGUAACACGUGGGUGAUCUGCCCUUCACUUUGGGAUAAGCCUGGGAAACUGGGUCUAAUACCGGAUAGGACUACGCGAUGCAUGUCGUGUGGUGGAAAGCUUUUGCGGUGUGGGAUGGGCCCGCGGCCUAUCAGCUUGUUGGUGGGGUGAUGGCCUACCAAGGCGACGACGGGUAGCCGGCCUGAGAGGGGGUCCGGCCACACUGGGACUGAGGUACGGCCCAGACUCCUACGGGAGGCAGCAGUGGGGAAUAUUGCACAAUGGGCGCAAGCCUGAUGCAGCGACGCCGCGUGGGGGAUGACGGCCUUCGGGUUGUAAACCCCUUUCAGCACAGACGAAGCGUAAGUGACGGUAUGUGCAGAAGAAGCACCGGCCAACUACGUG